AAAGGACACAGCCAGGACAGCUGACCCCAACUGACCAAAGGGAUAUUCCAUACCAUAUAACUUCAUGCUCAGCAGUAAAACUGGGGGGGGGAUUUUUUCUAAGGUUGCUCAGAGACUAGGCAUUGGUCUGCUGGUGGUUGAUCAUGUCUUGGUACCUCUACUGAUGUUGCAUAAAAUGAAUUUGCUUUGAUUGGCCCAACCAUUAGGAUGCAGGUGCCAACACGGAUCAAGAAACUAAUUGGAUCAGCAUUUACUGUGCAGUUCUCAGAGAAAUAGUACUUUUUAAUAUAAUUGCCUUUAGAAGAACAUGAUGAUCAUUUUAAAAAGACCAC
This is a long non-coding RNA of Grus americana (Whooping crane), 332 nucleotides long. RefSeq lists it as uncharacterized. Lineage: Eukaryota; Metazoa; Chordata; Aves; Gruiformes; Gruidae. The record is from RefSeq and is a predicted model, not a curated record. The transcript has 3 exons.